Molecule: ribosomal RNA, 430 nt
Filed under: Bacteroidota bacterium
Lineage: Bacteria; Pseudomonadati; Bacteroidota
Description: Bacteroidetes bacterium partial 16S ribosomal RNA
Rfam family: Bacterial small subunit ribosomal RNA
Source: RNAcentral
UAGGGAAUCUUCGGCAAUGGGGGGAACCCUGACCGAGCAACGCCGCGUGAGUGAAGAAGGUUUUCGGAUCGGAAAGCUCUGUUGUUAAGGAAGAACGAGUGUGAGAAUGGAAAGUUCAUACUGUGACGGUACUUAACCAGAAAGGGACGGCUAACUACGUGCCAGCAGCCGCGGUAAUACGUAGGUGGCAAGCGUUGUCCGGAUUUAUUGGGCGUAAAGCGAGCGCAGGCGGUCAAUUAAGUCUGAUGUGAAAGCCCCCGGCUCAACCGGGGAGGGUCAUUGGAAACUGGUUGACUUGAGUGCAGAAGAGGAGAGUGGAAUUCCAUGUGUAGCGGUGAAAUGCGUAGCUAUAUGGAGGAACACCAGUGGCGAAGGCGACUCUCUGGUCUGUAACUGACGCUGAGGCUCGAAAGCGUGGGGAGCGAACAGG